GAUGAAGAACGUAGCGAAAUGCGAUAAGUAGUGUGAAUUGCAGAAUUCAGUGAAACAUCGAAUCUUUGAACGCACAUUGCGCCCCUUGGUAUCCCGAGGGGCAUGCCUGUUCGAGCGUCAUUUCACCACUCAAGCCUGGCUUGGUGUUGGGCGACGUCCCCUUUGGGGACGCGCCUCGAAACGCUCGGCGGCGUGGCACCGGCUUUAAGCGUAGCAGAAUCUUUCGCUUUGGAAGUCGGGGCCCCGUCUGCCGGAAGACCUACUCGCAAGGUUGACCUCGGAUCAGGCAGGGAUACCCGCUGAACUUAAGCAUAUCAAUAAGCGGAGGA
This 329-nucleotide unclassified non-coding RNA is filed under the name soil metagenome. Its description in RNAcentral is "partial contains 5.8S ribosomal RNA, internal transcribed spacer 2, and large subunit ribosomal RNA". The stretch from base 1 to 120 matches the Rfam family "5.8S ribosomal RNA", at positions 35 to 154 of the family's 154-position model. The record is from RNAcentral.